Long non-coding RNA from Bradysia coprophila, 415 nucleotides. The record is from RefSeq and is a predicted model, not a curated record. Lineage: Eukaryota; Metazoa; Arthropoda; Insecta; Diptera; Sciaridae.
GGUGGACUGGAGGCCAGGAUAUGGAAUUGCAUGCGGAAGCUUUUUUUGAAAUGAUGAUUUAUUGCUUGAUAGGGACGAAGCUUUUUCAGAUAAACGAACAACUUUGCUGCGUACUAUCACAAUCGAAAUGGUACAAAUGGGACGUAUGUUCUCAGAAGAUAUUUUUGAAUUUGUUGAAUUCAUCCAUGAAUUUAAAAGAAUUGUGGAUUGGACCUCUAGCACCGUUAUCGGUUGUUUCUUUGAUACAGAUGGUUAAGAGCAUUUAUACGUACUACACUUUUUUGUCGGAAGCGGUAUAAUUCAUUUACUCGAUCGAUUUACUCGAUUUACACAAAUAUGUUACAGGCUAAGAGUCAAUGAGUCAAUUUGUAAAUAAAAUUCACGCAAAAUAAAAAUUUGGAUCUUGCUUAAGAAC